CUUUCAGUAACGGCGUAAAACAACAGUAUAUUGCUUUGGAAUGUGUCCUCCAUGAAUUAUUAGAGUCCCCUUUAUAUAGUAGGGGAAUCCUAAUCUAGGUACAAUUUCAUAAAGGUAAAUAAUCUUCUAUUUCUCUGCCCUUUCGGGUAGGGGUAAGACCUGUCUACAUAUUACCCUCCCCAGUCCUCCACUUUGUGGGACUAUACUGGGUAGUUGUUGUUGUUGUUGUUGUAAAUAAUCUUCUAUUUAACUGAUUGACGGUUCUUCAUUGAUGUGUGCCGAGAUCCACGCCCAUGAUAUUCAUUCGGUCACGAAUAUUUCGGCCUGACAAUUUCUUCGAAGUCUUUCGAGGUUCAGCAUGAUCCCGGAUCAUGAUCCCGAUAUUCUCGAGGACGAGCAUCAUGUUUCCGGACUCUGACUUGAUGAGACCCCUGCAUCGAUUCCGAUCUCUCG
Molecule: long non-coding RNA, 453 nt
Filed under: Nicotiana benthamiana
Lineage: Eukaryota; Viridiplantae; Streptophyta; Magnoliopsida; Solanales; Solanaceae
Description: long non-coding RNA (NBEN_LNC030408)
Source: RNAcentral